UCAAGCUAGAAAGAGCGCAAGGGGAAUGCCUUGGCAUCAGGAGCCGAAGAAGGACGUGACAAGCUGCGAUAAGCUGCGGUGAGCUGCACAUAAGCUUUGACCCGCAGAUUUCCGAAUGGGGAAACCCGGCAGAGCAAUACUCUGUCAGCGUGCGUUGAAUCAAAUAGGCGUACGCGGGGAACCGCCUGAACUGAAACAUCUAAGUAGGGCGAGGAAGAGAAAUCAACCGAGAUUCCGCUAGUAGUGGCGAGCGAACGCGGAAGAGGGCAAACCGGAGGAUUUAUCCUCCGGGGUUGUGGACAGUUUUUUAGCAACUGGAACUAGGAGAACGGUAUGGGAAGGCCGGCCAUAGCGGGUGAUAGCCCCGUAUCCGAAAGGGAAGGUUGUGCGACUGGAUCCAGAGUACCGCCGGACACGUGAAACCCGGUGGGAAGCUGGGGGGACCACCCUCCAACCCUAAAUACUACCUGAUGACCGAUAGAGGAGCAGUACCGUGAGGGAAAGGUGAAAAGGACCCCGGGAGGGGAGUGAAAGAGAACCUGAAACCUUGUGCUUACAAGCACUCAAAGCCCGUUAAAGGGUGAUGAGGUACCUUUUGUAGAAUGGUCCGGCGAGUUAUUGUUACUGGCAAGCUUAAGGCAUUCAGUGCCGGAGGCGCAGGGAGACCGAGUCUGAAUAGGGCGUAUGAAGUCAGUGGCAAUAGACCCGAAACCGGGUGACCUAUCCAUGGGCAGGUUGAAGUGGGGGUAAAACCCCAUGGAGGACCGAACGCACGCCCGUUGCAAUGGUCGGCGAUGACCUGUGGAUAGCGGUGAAAUUCCAAUCGAACUCGGAGAUAGCUGGUUCUCCCCGAAAUAGCUUUAGGGCUAGCGUUGGCUUAGAUUACCGGAGGUAAAGCACUGAAUGGGCUAGGGGCCGAUAAGGUUACUGAACCCUAUCAAACUCUGAAUGCCGGAUAAUUGAUGGCUAGCAGUCAGUCUACGUGAGAUAAGUCUCGUGGACAAAAGGGAAACAGCCCAGACCCACAGCUAAGGUCCCAAAGAUACGCUAAGUGGAAAACGAUGUGGAGUUGCGAAAACAACCAGGAUGUUGGCUUAGAAGCAGCCACUCAUUAAAAGAGUGCGUAAUAGCUCACUGGUCGAGUGACUCUGCGCGGAAAAUAUAACGGGGCUAAGCGUAACACCGAAGCUUGGGCUGCACAGCAAUGUGCGGGGUAGGGGAGCGUCGAAUAUGGGGUGAAGUCGCAGCGGAAGCAGCGGUGGACUGUAUUCGAGUGAGAAUGCCGGAAUGAGUAGCGAGAAUUAUGUGGGAAUCAUAAUGGCCGAAAAUCUAAGGUUUCCUGGGGAAGGUUCGUCCGCCCAGGGUAAGCCGGGAGCUAAGGCGAGGCCGAAAGGCGUAGUCGAUGCACAUACGGUUGAAAUUCCGUAGCCACCGAACCUUAAGUACACUGACACAUGGAGAUAGCGGGACCCGGGCGUUGGUUGACCCGGGCGUAAGGGACCGAACUUUAGUAGGGAAGUCCGCGAUGCUCUGUGGCGAGAAAAGGUGUAUGGUAUGCUAAGGUGCCCGUACCGCAAACCGACACAGGUAGAUGAGGAGAGAAUCCUAAGGCCAACGGGAGAAGGGUUGUUAAGGAACUCGGCAAAAUGACCCCGUAACUUCGGGAUAAGGGGAGCCUCCUACGGGAGGCCGCAGCGAAUAGGCCCAAGCGACUGUUUACCAAAAACACAGGUCUCUGCUAAAUCGAAAGAUGACGUAUAGGGGCUGACGCCUGCCCGGUGCUGGAAGGUUAAGAGGAGAUGUUAGCCGCAAGGCGAAGCAUUGAAUCGAAGCCCCAGUAAACGGCGGCCGUAACUAUAACGGUCCUAAGGUAGCGAAAUUCCUUGUCAGGUAAGUUCUGACCCG
This 1905-nucleotide ribosomal RNA is filed under the name human gut metagenome. RNAcentral describes it as "bacterial LSU rRNA". It matches the Rfam family "Bacterial large subunit ribosomal RNA", at positions 3 to 1990 of the family's 2925-position model. The record is from RNAcentral.